Molecule: ribosomal RNA, 403 nt
Filed under: Verrucomicrobiota bacterium
Lineage: Bacteria; Pseudomonadati; Verrucomicrobiota
Description: Verrucomicrobia bacterium partial 16S ribosomal RNA
Rfam family: Bacterial small subunit ribosomal RNA
Source: RNAcentral
UGGGGAAUAUUGCACAAUGGGGGAAACCCUGAUGCAGCGACGCCGCGUGAGCGAAGAAGGUUUUCGAAUCGUAAAGCUCUGUCCUAUGAGAAGAUAAUGACGGGAUCAGAGGAGGAAGCCCCGGCUAAAUACGUGCGAGCAGCCGCGGUAAUACGUAUGGGGCGAGCGUUGUCCGGAAUUAUUGGGCGUAAAGGGUACGUAGGCGGUCUAUUAAGUCAGGUGUGAAAGCGUGAGGCUUAACCUCAUUAAGCACUUGAAACUGAUAGACUUGAGUGAAGUAGAGGAAAGUGGAAUUCCUAGUGUAGCGGUGAAAUGCGUAGAUAUUAGGAGGAAUACCGGUGGCGAAGGCGACUUUCUGGACUUUUACUGACGCUCAGGUACGAAAGCGUGGGGAGCAAACAGG